UACUUUGUCGGUGUACGGCACGAGAGAAUUUGAGUCUCUAAGAGACGAAAGUCAUAAAGUAU
This 62-nucleotide transfer RNA is filed under the name Hermissenda emurai. RNAcentral describes it as "tRNA-Gln". The record is from RNAcentral. Lineage: Eukaryota; Metazoa; Mollusca; Gastropoda; Nudibranchia; Glaucidae.